CAGUAGCCACGGUAAUGCGAAGGGGGCUAGCGUUGCUCGGAAUGACUGGGCGUAAAGGGCGCGUAGGCGGAUGGCACAGUCAGAUGUGAAAUUCCCGGGCUUAACCUGGGGGCUGCAUUUGAUACGUGUUGUCUAGAGUGAGGAAGAGGGUUGUGGAAUUCCCAGUGUAGAGGUGAAAUUCGUAGAUAUUGGGAAGAACACCGGUGGCGAAGGCGGCAACCUGGUCCUUGACUGACGCUGAGGCGCGAAAGCGUGGGGAGCAAACAGGAUUAGAGACCCCAGUAGUCCCUGUCUCUUAUAC
Molecule: ribosomal RNA, 301 nt
Filed under: uncultured bacterium
Lineage: Bacteria
Description: partial 16S ribosomal RNA
Rfam family: Bacterial small subunit ribosomal RNA
Source: RNAcentral